Molecule: long non-coding RNA, 351 nt
Filed under: Elaeis guineensis (African oil palm)
Lineage: Eukaryota; Viridiplantae; Streptophyta; Magnoliopsida; Arecales; Arecaceae
Description: long non-coding RNA (EGUI_LNC033253)
Source: RNAcentral
AACCGACACGGCGAACCCUAUGACAGAGGGGGGCAACUCUCUCGAGUUUGGAGAGGCAAGGUCGGCGGUCGGUUGUGAUCACCGGCGCCGGAAAACCAAAGGGAAGAAGAGACCAAACAGGGAUCUCUUCUCCGACCAAAAAUCGGCGACACCCGUCGUCGGCAGUCGCGCACAGAGGCACGGGAAGAAGGGGAAAGAAGAGAGGAAGAGGAGGAAAACUUACUUCGGCCUCCGGUGACCCCACCGGCGAGCAAUCACGGCGAGCACGAAAUAAGUAUCUGCGGCUCCAAUCGGAGAAAUCAAGGAGGAAGAGAGGAGAAAAGGAUCGGUGAUCGGCUUCUAAGGAAGGGG